Long non-coding RNA from Prunus persica (peach), 877 nucleotides. RefSeq lists it as uncharacterized. Lineage: Eukaryota; Viridiplantae; Streptophyta; Magnoliopsida; Rosales; Rosaceae. The transcript has 3 exons. The record is from RefSeq and is a predicted model, not a curated record.
UCCUGCUGAAGUAAUAGCAGAGAGCAUUGAGCUGACUGAAAAACAGCGAGAAGCUCAAAGGACAGAGCCCACCAGCUCAGAAUUGGCUCUUUUUGAUGAUGUGGAGGCAGAACAUUCUCCAGCGGUCCUAGAACCUGAGGUGGAGGAGGACAGAACUGCUAGGACUUUAGUUGUGGUGACCAGUCCUCUCAAGCCUCCUAUUGUGGUCCCUCCUUUGCUGAUCCAGAGUUGGAAGAGUUUGAAGCCAUGGACUUAGAUGCUCAACUGUAGCAAUUGGAGAAACUUGGAGCUACUCCAGGGAAAGCCAAGUUAAAAGCAGUGGAUGAGGCAGUGGGAAGGGUGAAGUUCUGGCAGUCAAUUGAGUGGGAUUUGGAUGAGAAUAAGGAAGUUGUUGAUUAGUUGAUGAAAGAUCUGGACCUGCUGCAUAGGGAAAACAUGGCUCCCAGGCCUAUCCUUGAGAUUAGCUUGGUUCUGGGAAGAGAUGUGCUCAACCUUCACAACUGUUACGAAGAUCUCAAGCCUUCCUUCCAUGCCUCUGAGUUCUACAAGACUACUCAUGAAGCCAAUCUGGCAGACCAAAAGAAACAGAAAGCAGAACUGGAUAUGAUGGUUGCCGAUUGUUAGGAGACCAAGUCUACUGCUAAUAAGCUACAGAAACAUAUUGAAGAACUCCAGAAGAAACUGGCUGGAUUAAGAGAGAGGCAAAACAAGCUUGGUGUUGGGCUGGGAGCGAAAACUAAGGCCACUUUCCUUGUGCAGAGUAUGGUCUCAGCUUCAAAACCUGCUUUAGAGAUUGCAGAAGCCUUCAUCCACCAGGGAGUACUCCUCCAAAAAGAACUAUCCAUCAAGAAGACUGGACUGCAGGAGACUCUUAGAA